AAGCUUCAGAUAGUAGUAUUGGUCUUGAUCGGUUCAGGUUGAAUGGCCUUUUGCACAAGCUCGGUUUGUUCCUUCACAUGCACAGAAUAGAAGCCAGUAGCAGUGGAAGCAGAUGGAGCACGGCCAAUGUAUCUGAUAUCAUCAAAGGUUCCUCUGCCCAAAGCAGUCAUUGCAGUGGCAAGACGAGGUGCAAUGUAGUUGUAUGCACCCAUGUUCAUCGGUUCUUCCUGGCACCAAACAAUCUCUGCGUCUGACAGUAACCAACAGAAAAUAUCAGGAAAAACAAAAACGCAUGAAAAGAAAUAAAGGAUCACAAUUCAUUAAAAAUUACUAAACCUAACAGUAUAUAUAGCUAGGACAUCAAGUUUCUUUAAACAAAAGAGGAGAGAUGGGAGACAUAGGAGGAUCCAAACCGAAUAUACGACUUCAACAAACUGAGCAAAAUUUGUUCAGAAGCAAUUAAACCCUGGUAAGUUCUCAAAAUGACAUAUAUGUUUCAAAUUGUGUCUUUAGGUUCACCGAGUAUUGUUAUAGAUCAAGAUUUAGUCUAAGCUUGGACAACAUACUUGGAUAUCGCUUAAGCUCCCGCUGGAUUAGGUCAUAAGGAAAUGGGCAAAGCUGUUCCACACGACAGAUAGCAACGUCGGUAGCAUUGUUCUUCUUUCGCUCAUCAUCAAGCUCAUAGUAGACCUGAAAGCAGAUGGAGCAUGAUUAUGGUCUUAAGAAACGACACAGAACCAUUAAACCUGCAGAGAACUACACUUAAAGCCCAACAAAACAACACACGUUCUGAAUCUUAGUUGCCUGCUUCACUCUAAAGGAUAAAAUUCCAGAAUUAAACGGCUUUUAUAUGUCAUACAAGGGGGAAAAAAGCGGAAACCAAGGGCAUAGCAUACCUUUCCGGAACAAAGUACCAACCGUCUGAUACCCUCCUCAAGGUCGGAGUGCAUAUUCUGAUCUUUUAUAAGUCGCUUAAAUCUGGUUCCUUGUUUAUCAAAACCAGGGUGGCCUUGGACAUCAUCAAAUUCAGAGAGAUUUGAUUUGCAGUCCUUGUGACGAAGUAAGUUUUUGGGGGACAUCACGAUAAGAGGCUUACGGAAUUCCCUGUGUAUCUGAAAUAGGAGAGAAGAAUGAUAAGGAAAUGGCAAGACUAGCCCCGAAGCUGAAACAUCAUUAAUAACCUUUAGUUGCUCUGACCUGACGCCGCAAAACAUGGAAGUAAUUAGCAGGUGUUGUAACGUUAACCACCUGCCAGUUGCACUCCUGAAUUUGUUUACGAAGAGUUGUAUCCAUCUCAGGUAUCACAAAAGGAUUGUCAUCACUCAUCUGCAAAAAUUUAUAAAGAUGUAGUCAUCGAUGCACCAUGAGUCCCCUUUUUUAUUUUUAUGUGAAAAUGACAUCCUAGGGAGCACAGCCUGAUUUUGAAUAAAGGAUGAUGAAGCUAAAUCAUGAUGCAAAGAACAAUGCAUGCUAUUUCAUGGGGAAUACCUGAAGAUAACGCUCUAGUCGUGCACUUGAAUGUUCUGGACCUUGUCCAUCAUAACCAUGGGGAAGCAGCACUACAAGACCAGUUUGACGCAGCCACUUUGCCUCCCCGCUACUUAUAAACUGAUCAAAUAUCACUUGAGCACCAUUAGCAAAGUCACCAAACUGAGCUUCCCACAUAACCAAUGAAUUUGGAUUCUCCAUCGAGUAACCCAAUUCGAAUCCAAGCACACCAAACUCAGAAAGAGAACUGCACUCAAAGACCACAUGUUGCUCAGAAAAACAAACCCAAAAUUAACAAAAAGAUCAAAAGUAAAAAUGCCACACAAAACUAAAAUGCACAAUCAAACAAUUCUCCAGCAGGGACAUAAAUUUGCAGGAGAAGCAAAGAUAUCGCCACAUAAAGAAGAGAACAGUAAGUUUGCAAGUGAAAGAUCAACUUAAAAUUCUGAACUUGUACACAUUGCAUACAGUGAACCACAUAGAAACCAAAUUCCAGGUAUAAGGUGCAGUCAAGUGGAAAAGUUCUCAAUAAGCUAAGCCAUAAUGCAGAGCACAAUUGAUAUUUAAUUUGGAAUAACUACAUAAAUAGAUUCCAAAUUAGCCUUAAUACCAAAUAGUUACACAAAUAAAGGAAUCUUUUUCUUCUUUUUUAUUUUACUAUUUUUCCUUGAAAACGUAAAAUAUAGAUGGCUUCUCUUCCUCUUAAAGGAUUUCCAAGACAAAUAGUCAAAUACAUCACCACAUCUUGUACAGUCACUAUCAGAGAACACGUAUUAUAUGGACUGAAAAAUUAGCUAUUACACAAAGUCCAAAGCAUUAAAAGGGUUACCUAUUGCUUACAGUAAACAUCUCCUCAUUUUGGUUGAUGAUAACAUGGUCCAGAGGGCAAUACUGUUCCCCUGUUUCCUGGUCGUGAAUCACAGAAUGCCGAUGACUGAAUGUACCCCUUUCAACAUCCUGACCACUCAACCUAACAUGGUUACCUUCCACCAGCAAGGUAGCAAAUGCAAGUGCUUCACCCAUAGCCCAGUCAAGGCCCUCCCCUGUCUCAAUCAUCUGCGCACGUUGUUCAUAAACCUUCUUCACCGCUCUAUGAGGCUUAAAAUUAUCUGGAAGGGUUGUGAUUGCUUUGCCAACAUUCUUCAAUAUCUCGGGUUUAACCCUGCAUAACAUGCAAGUUUCAUCAGCAAGUAUAAGUAAGAGAUACCAAAAUGAAAGUUGAAAUUGACAAAGAAGCCAAAAUACCCAGUGUUCCGAACACGUGAAAUUUGUUCAGGUGACUUGAAUCCCGUCCAGUAAGCAGAGAGCCAGUCCCGUCUUUUGGGAACAUAAUCUUUGCUGGCCAAGAAUUCGUCAUUAAGAAUUGUACUGACCUUCUGACUUAUAUUACCAAUGUCGUCAUCUGUCACCUGCCCAGACUCCAACAACUUGUUUCGGUAGAUCUGAAGUGCUGAGGGGUGAUUCCGAAUGAUCUGUUGAAAAAAAAAAAAAGGAAGAAUUUACAUAUGUCAAGUUCAAGUAAUUUCUCAGGAACAUAUUAAAAAACAAAAAAAAAGGGUAGGACCAACUAAGGCAUGCCUAAUGGGGAAAUAAAUAGCCAAAAAGGUAAAUAGGAUGCAGACCUUAUACAUCUUUGGCUGUGUAAAUGAUGGUUCGUCAAUCUCAUUAUGCCCAAAUCUACGGUAGCAGACCAAAUCAACCACCACAUCUGAAUGGAAGGUUUGGCGCCAUUCAGCUGCAAGUUCACAUGCAUGGACAACUGCCUCAACAUCAUCUCCAUUUACAUGGAAAAUGGGAGCAUUCAAAGCUUUGGCAACAUCAGUACAAUACUGUGAAGAUCUGCCUGCCCUUGGAUCAGUUGUAAAUGCCACUUGGUUGUUGACUACAAUAUGUAUAGUUCCACCAGUAGUGUAGUUUGGAAGUGCACUAAGAUGAAGAGUUUCAUAGACUACACCCUGUCCAGCAAAGCUUCCAUCUCCAUGAAUCAAAAUAGCCAUGUUCUUGGUCCUAUCCUCGUCAUUGGAGUAAUACUGCUUUGCUCUAGUUUUUCCAACAACAACUGGGUCCACAGCCUCCAAGUGACUGGGGUUGGCAACUAAAGACAAAUGAAUUCUCUUUCCACCUCUUGUUGGUCGAUCAUAGGAAGUUCCCAAGUGAUAUUUGACAUCACCAGUUCCUGUGUAAAGCCCAACUUCAUCCACAGGCCUUGUACCACCACUGAACUCACUAAAUAUUUGACGAAGUGGCUUUCUGACAACAUUACCUAGCACAUUCAAUCUUCCUCUGUGAGGCAUUCCAAUAACUAUGCUUUCAACCCCUAGAUCUGCAGCCCUAUCAAACAUCUCUUUCAUUCCAGGAAUUAAAGUUUCACCCCCUUCUAGCCCAAAUCUCUUGGCUGUUGUCCACUUGGUAGCCAAGAAAUUUUCAAACUGUGUACUCCAUAUAAGCCUAUCAAGAAUGACUUCGCGCCGCUGGCGAUUGUACUGCAUUGGUGUUGGAGUUUCAAUCUUGUCUCUCAACCAGUUGCACUUGUCACGCUCAGCAAUGUGCAUGUAUUCGAACCCAAUGCUUCCACAGUAAGCCUGCUCAAGCCGAGUCAAAAUCGACCUAAGUGUCUGCACGGGUCGGUUUUCUGAUAAAAAUCCAGCCAUCCUCCACACACCUAAAAAGAAUUCUCUAUCAAGAUCAGCUUCAGUAAAACCAUAAAAAGCUGGAUCCAAAUCAUCAGGGAUUUCCCUUUCCUCUAAACCCAGCGGAUCCAACUUCGCUUUCAUGUGACCAUUAACCUGGUAAGCCCUCACAAGCAAUAACAAUCGCAUACUCUCCUGAAUGGUCUGGCCUGAAAUUCCUGGAGAUGUGGCAGCCUGACCAACAAAAUUCCUGAAGAAAUUGUCCCACGACUCAUCAACACUAUCUGGGUCAGCUUCCCAGGCCCUUUGAAGCUCCUCUAAGUAUACACUACUGGUUCCAUCUAAGAAACUAUCAGUUAGCUUAGAAAGUGGAACAGGGCGAGGAACGGGAGCAGUCUGUGCCUUUGAUUUAAAGACAGUGGUGUGAAAAUAUCGACUCUGUGAAGGAACAAUGCGUGAUCUUGCAGCAUAUGAUCCACCCUGAGACAAAGUCCUCCUAAUGGCAAGCUUUGCCACACUUGACCCAGCUCUAAGCCACCCCAUAUCUAUCAAUCAAAAAUAUUUAUGAGCCAACAAUUCUCAAAGAUUGUAUCGUACCUCCACACUCAGAACUCUAUCAACACUCGCUACACUCUUACUUCACCAAUUAGAAACCUAUUUAACAUAUAUAUUUAAAGAAAAAAAAAAAAAGGUUGCAUAUAUGAAAAUUCAACAACAUUAAUAGCUCAAAUACAAGAAAAUGAAUAAAAGUGUUGAAUUUAUAAUCUGAUUUCAGUAAUAUUCUUAAUCUAAUAUCCAUAAAAGUGAAAGCUCUGAUAGUUCAAGUUCACCAAAAUACUUAAAAACUUUGAAUUAAUGCUCAAAUAAAAUUAGCCUAGAACAAGGUUAUAAAAAAUUUCUAAACAACAUAAUUGAUCAAAUGCUAAUAACUGAAUAAUAAAAAACCAAUUAAAUUCAACCGUCUUAACAUUAACAAUUAAAGUAACCAAUGUACAAUCUUAAUCAAAAUCAGAACUUCUUAAGCGUAACAACAACAGAAAUUAAGUCCAAAAGCAUAAAUUCUCCUCACUUCCUUAAAACAGAUCAAAUCGAUAUUUCUUGGAAACAAAAUUUAAAGCUUGAAAAAAAGCCAAGCUGUUGACCUGUUAUAGCAUAUUCAUCCACACGGAAACCAACAAAAUUAUUAAAAGAAAUCAAAAUCAAAGUCAAAAACGAAUGCAAGCAGAAUAAAAUAAUAAUGUAAUAAUGAUAACAGGAAGGAAACAGAUUUUCCAGAGAAACUGAAGAGUUAAUCAGAUUUUAGAGAAGUCAGAUGAAAAUUGAAGAAAAAAACUGAAGUUAAAGGACUGUUUGGGGAGGAGGAAAAAUAAAAGGUUACCUGGAAAAUAUGAGAGUAAAUUAAAAACCCUAUAAGUGAAGUUGACGUUGGCUGUGUUGGCUUAAGACUUUUUAUUUUUUAAGUUAGGACCAAAAUAUUGGUCUUGAACUCUCUUUUUUUCGGCCGAAAGAAAAGCCUCUCUUCCGUUUUGUUCUUCGCUUUUUCUCGUAAUUUCUUCAAAUAGUGAAAGGCUAAACUAUUCCAAAUUUAUAUUUUGGUCCUUCAAUUUUAAAAAAAUAUAAAAUAGUCUUUAAAUCAUUUUAAAAUUUUUAUUUAAGUCGUUAAACUAUUAGAAAAGUUUUUAAUAACUCAGUAGUUAAGUUUUCUUUUUCAAAUGUCCAACUAACAAGCUUCAAGUAUCAAUUUAAUCAUAGAUCAACACUCAUCGAUGAAUAAAAUAACAUAUAUUAUAUCCAAGUUGGUCUAGUAGUUAAUGUUGGAGAUUGGAGAAGAAAUUUAUUUAGAUUUUGGUAUACAAAUUUGUGACGUUUUAGCUAUUUCAUGACAAAAAAUUAAACUUUAAAAGUUAGUGGGAAUGAUUGAUUUCGAUUGGAGUAGGCAAUGUGAACAAAAAGGGCACAUACAUUUGUGAUUUUAACAAUCUAGUGACUUAAAUAGAAACUUUCAAACAGUUCAAUGCUUAUUUAUAACUUUUUGAAGUUGAAUGACUAAAACGUAAAUUUACUAAUAAUUUAAUAAAUUUAAGUAUAAUUUAUCCAGAAUGAAGUCCCUAAAUUUCAAUUUUUCCUUUUUUUCUUAAAUUUAGACAACAGCAAAUUUUUAAAAAUUUUGGAUAUAAAAAAAUUUAAACAUUCGAGGCUACAUAGAGAGUUUAUUACUAUUUUUCUUUUGAAGUAAUAAAGAGUUAUUAUUAAAUAUAUGUAGAAAUUUUGUUUCUUACUUAAUAAAUUCAGACCAGGUUGAGAUAAGAUAUUUUUAAAUAUGUAGAACAUAGACCUGAUCCGAAAAAUGGGUUGAGAAUUUUACCUAAACUUAGGGUUCCUUUAGAUGGGCGAUAUAUUUACUAACAAUUAGUGUAAAAAAAAAAGCAGCGACGAUAAGAUUAGAUACUAUAACGAUAUUGUAGCGUGAGACAAAAAAAAAGCUAAACAUAUCGCACUGGAAGUAAACGUUCAUCCAAAGGGACCAUCUGCCCAAACAAUAUUAGUAUUUUUUGGGUUUAACCCGGCCCGCCUAGAUUUUCUUAGACUCGUUGAAUAAUUGUCUCAAGCCAUUAUCCGAUGUAUCAGGCACAGAUAUGUUGAAGGUUUUCCAAGAUUUUCACGUCUUAAGGGUGUUUCUUUUGGAGAAUCAUGCAUUGAACAUGAUUAUGGGCACAAAAGCUUUAAGAAAAAUGAAGACCGUAACAAAAGUGUUUCUGGGAAACACUUUUGAGAAGUAUUCCUAAACAUAGGUAAUUUCCUAAACAAAAUGUAGAGCAUGUUUUUAAUGGGUAACAACAAGAAGAGAAGUGGAGAAAUUAUAGAUCCGCUAAUUAUAGUUGAAUGCAAGACAUGAAGCAAAUAUGAUUGGAUUGAGAAAUUGAAAACAGAAGAAUGACACAAACUUUUUGGGGUUUUCUAUACAAAGGAAAGGAUGAAAUUUCAAUUUAAUGGACAGAUUUAGACUUUUUGUAAAUAUGGCUUUCGACUUUAACUUAGUGGGUCUUGACUUUAAUGGUUGUAGGGAAGAUAUGGAUCUGGCCUUAAUGGUUUUAUAAUUUUAUAUCAAUGUCAAUAAAUAUAUUAAAUAAAUGUAAAAUUGGGCCAACUAAGUCGGCCUCGGGCUAAAAAUAAUUUGUCCAAGACUCAAUCUAAAUAAAAAUGGAUUCAAAAUUUUAUCCAAACCUAUUUUUUGAAUUUAUUAUUUUUGUCUAAACCUUUUCAUAUUUCGGGCAGGUUUUAAGCCUGAACGGGUAGCUCGGUGUAUGAAUAAAUUUACUUAAUAUUUAUUUGGAAUGAAAAUUAAUGAUAAGAAAUACUUCAUUUUUAUAGGAUUUACUUAUUAUAUUUUAGUGAGAUUUUAAAUUUGAUUUACAUUUUUUUUAUAUACCAAAACAAUAAAAAGUAAGUAAAACAUGUAAUAGAUAAUUUUUCAUAUUGAUUACGAGAUUAAAAAUUUAUAUCAUUUUAUAAUGAAAUUUGUUGAUGUGUGGAUCAAACAAGGCAAAGAUGGUGGCGAGGAUAGGCAGUUCACCUCGUAUGGUGCAAGGCAGAGAGCCGCCACUCAAAGUGGAAGAACAAGAGAGAGAGAGAGAGAUCCUUUGCUCUAUGUGAGUAGAGAGAGAGAUCCUCUGCCCUAUGUGAGCCCCAGACUUUAUAUACUUGUAGCUUUAGUCCUGAGGUCCCACGUGUCGAGCUUCUACAGGAGUAAAAGGCAAGUGGCCAAGUGGUUUGCCACUAUAAGCCUGGGUAGGGUGACAAUUGGACAUACUUUCAAUUAUCUCAUGAAACGUAAUGGUUGAAGGCAUGGAUGGUGGUUAAUAAGUGCAACUCUCAUGAGUGUUAAGCUGAGGGGUGUGCCGAGGUGUUAGGGUAUAACAAUUUCCCUCCCCCAAACCAAGAGGGAGGUUAUAUAGUGGUCUGUCUCGAUAUGCUAUAGGCAUUUAGUGCUUUGAGGUAUUUUAAGGGAAAUAACAUGCAAUGGUCGAAAUUUGAAACGAUAGGGUUUCUGUGUUGGAUGCACGUGUAGUCCAUACUGCUUCAGGACAUGCACAUGCAUAAACGUGCAUUAAUGAUUGUGUGUUACAACACUUUAUCGAGAAAUGCUUCCAACUGUUAUUUGUCAUUAAAUGUUUGAAAUUACUAAAUGUAGCGUUCUUUUUGGAUUUUGAAAGAGAGUGUUCAAGAAGCUUCGUUAGACCAAAAAGUCUAUAAAUCUUUGGGUUUUGGAGACUAUUGUUCAUUACUAGAUUUGAAAAUUUUCUAAAGUUUUUAAAGUUUAGCCUUUCCAUUCUUGAGUUUGUACUUCACCGGCGUAGUUUAUAUCGAUGUGUAGUUCAUAUUUUUAGUAAGUUUGAUUCUUCUAUUGUAGGUUUGAGGGUUUAUUUUAGCAUACUAUUAGCAAAAAUGAUUAGAGGAAAUUGGGGUGGGGAGGCUGACAAUAGCAUGAGUGUUGAAGGUCGUUAAAAGGCGAAGUGGCGAGAUCGUAGAUGUAACACUCCUCACCCGGAGUUAACCAAUAUAUCACGAGCAAAGGAUGUCACAUUUGGACAUUAAAGCUACUCAACUCGAACAUCAAUUUUAAAACUUUGUUUUAACAUAAAUAGACUCUUUUGGAGUUAUUCAAGUCAUUUCUAACCUUUCUUUAAAGUUUGGUUACAAACAAGGACCAAGCGGGGCUUAUUCGGGUCAAAACAGGGUCAAUGUUGCGACACUGGAAUGUUGAUGUUGCAACAUCGAAAACAAAUUACUCUAAUUACAUGUCCAAUGUCGUGACACUAAUUUUUGAUGUUGUGACACUGAAGGCAGAAUACCUAAAACAUGUUUGAAACAUCAAAAACCAAGUCCAACUAUCAUCAAUCAUUCCAUAUCACUUUUAAACACUAUAAAACAUAAAUUUCCAUUAAAACAUCAUAUGAUUCCACAUAUAACUCAAUCAAAAUUUAACUAAUUUUGUAUGGUUAACAAAAUGAUCAAGAUUCUUCAAGUAUUUACACUAUAAAUCUUGUCCAUAUGCUUUGCAUCAAACUAUGUGCAUGCCAUAAUCUAUAACCAAAAGAUCAAAAUCAUACUCUCUUCUGAGCUUUGAGAUGUGAUGAGUUGAUAUGGUAUCUUCACUUUAGAGCUUUAACUCGAGUCCCUACCUACGCGUUAAGCUUACAAAAGCUUGGCAAAUACAUCAAGAAUUAAACUUACAAUUUAAAUCAACCAACAUUAUAUUCAAUGAAAUUAAAUAGAGAGUAACCAUAAUGAAAUCUUUAACUAAUAUUUUAUAGUUCAUUUACCAAUUCAUUUAUAUGACCACUUACCCUUUAAAUUAUAAACCAAAUUAUAGACUCAAUAAAACACAUAAGAUAUGUGCAUACACUGAGUCAUUUCCAUUCUUGAGUUUGUACUUCACUGACAUGGUUUAUAUCGAUGUGUAGUUCAUAUUCCUAGUGUUGACAACGUGAGCCUUUAGCCUAUGAUCAAUUAAAUCUCUAAUUAGUAAAUAAAUAGAUUAACUAAUUUCAAAAUUCGAGUUUUAAUAUGAAUUAGCUAUUAAUUAACUAGUAUUACCUCUCGGCCUCUACUAAUUGAUUAAUCGGCGGAUACUCAUUUAUCUCCCAACCUCGCUUUCUCCAACAGGAUAAAGUAUGAUUUACUCAGUUCGACUUAUCUCCCGAUUUCAUCUCCCCUAUGAUAACUUCCUAGGGUUGUCAAGCCUGGGGUUUAGGAACGUAUAUAUAUCAACUAAUCUGAUUAUGAACCCUUAUCCUUUUGUUAAUUAAUCGACUUGAUUAAUUAAUCAGUUCAAUAAUUGAAACAUGCAUGAUAUAAAUAAAGCACAAGAUUUAUUCUAAUAUUCAUACAAAUAUUAGUUGAUCAGGCUAACAAAAUAUAAAUAAAAUAAUAAAAUAGAAUAGUAGAGAGAAUGCUUGUGAAUAUAUAUAUUGAAGCGCGGAUCUGGAGCAAUCUCCGCUCGCUAUUGUCUUCACAUCGGAAUAGAAAAUUUCCGACUAAACAAAAAGAAAAGAAAACCAAAAAUUGUGUUUGAUGGAUGGAUGGUUUGAUUGAUUGAUGCCCUAAUUUGUAUAUAGAAGCCUUUUAUUUAUAGGCUAAAAUAUAUGCACUUUAUGCUCGAUAUGCCCCUAAUACUUUAGGUGCAAGUAAAGAAUAAAAUCUAUGAGAAUCUGCCAAAAUACAGUUGCCGACGUCAUCCUUGCUUGUGGCCCACAUUCAAGUGAUGGCUCAACACAGGGUGUGUGUCAUGCCAGAGACAUUGUGUGUCAUGCCACAACAGUCUUUUUAUGGCUGUGGACGUUUUUUUCGUGCUUUCACGGCUCGAGAAGCUUGUGCAUCAUUCGUUCCAAGUUCCUACGUCAAUUGGGUCUAAAAUUAAGCCUCUUGCACACUUAAAUACACAAAUUAACCCUACCUAAGGCCCUUGUCAGCCUAAUAGGUCAUCAACACUCAUAAAAUGUGUUAAAAACACAUAUUUUUAUUAACUUUUAAUCCUAACUACUAAAUACCGAAAAUGAAAUAAUAAAUACUAAAUUGGCUAGAAAACAAACCUCUUAAGUGUGAAAAUAGACUGAAAUAACUACUACAUUUAACGUCAUGUCAAUCAUGACAUGAAUUAAUAUCUUUGAAUGUGACCAUUGAAUUUGGUAUGUGAUGGAAUCAUAUAGAUACUUGGUUUGUUAGAUUAUGUUACAUAUGGAAAUAAUUGGAAAUACAUGAUUUGGUUUAUGGCUAUAGUGUGGUAUUUUGAUGAUAGAUAUUGGGAGGUUAUAGUUUAUUUAGUAAGCUUAUGUUUAUUGUGAAAUGAUAGGUUAUUAGGUUGGCAUUAUGGUCAACUUUAACAUGGUAGAAAUUGGUACUUAUAUUGCAUGCUAAGCACAAGUAUGACUUAAUUCUAGUUGAAUCUUGGGUAUUGGAUUAGAAUUUAAAGCAUGGUAUGUUAGGUAGUUUAAAUGCUAUGUGUUGGUACAAGUAUAAAAGAAUUGAUUGAAAGUGUUGUUUAUUGUUGAAUUGAGGUGCCAAUUGUGGCAUAUUGGUUAGGCACUUAGGGUAGUUUUAUAAGUUGUAUUUUGGGUAUAUUUUGAACAGGUUUAAUGAAUGGUUAAAGGCUUGUUUAUGGCAUGAGUAAGAAUUGAUUGUGUGACUUGAUUUAAAAGGCAUAUUUUGGCACAUAGGGGCUAACACACAGGCAAGUGACAUGGUCGUGUGCUCUGUAUUAUCAAGGUGGUUUUGGUUAAACAAAGUCACAGUCUCUCACAUGGCCUGGCAACACAGUCGUGUGAAUGUUUGUAAGAUUUUACAUUUAGGUCCACACGACCUCGUCACACGGCCUGGACACACGCUCGUGUGACCUUGUUUUACACUUUUGCUCAAUCUUUUCUGAAAUGUUCUAAAUGAGUUCCUGUUUGUUUUGAAAUUGAUUUUAGAGCUUUCGUAAGCUCGAAUUAAGUUCAAAUUUGUAUUGAAGACUUGAUUUGUUUGAUGAAUUGAUGAUUUAAGAUUGUUUUGAAUAUGUACUUGAAUUAAAUUACAUGUUCCGAUUCUGUUAUUUAUUAAGCAUCUCGUAACUUGAUUCCGGUGACGGAGACGAAUGAGAGUGUUACGCUCUUAUUUAAAAUAUUCAUGGGUAAAGAGAAUUUAUGAGAAAAUUUAUAACCAUAAAUGUUAAUGGAAAAUGUUGCUAAGUGUAAUAGAAAAAAUAGUUACAAUGAAAAAUUGGAAACGUACAUUAUAAUUAAAAUAAAGUUUGUAAUGCUAUAUAAAAGAAAGUAGUGUGAUUCACUCUCUCAUAUCAUUUAUACAAAAAUGUUUACCUAAUUAUUUAAAGUAGAUGAUUCUCAUUUAAUUUUCAACUCUUUAAUGUCAUAAAUACAUAAUAAUUUUUCCAUGUAAUCAAUUUUUAGGGUUUUUACUUCAAUAAUAUAAAAUAAAUAAAUAAAACAUUAAUAUUCACGAAACUAGGUAAAUUUUGCAGUAAAUAAUUAAUGAAAAAACCUCAAUUUUUACGUUUAAAAAGAUAGGAAAAAUCUUAAUGAAAAACGUUAAUUAAAUAUUUUAAAUAUAAGGAUUAGCUUAUUAAAUUCAUUCAAAUACCAAAGUUGUCCCUUUUAAUAAUUUUAAAUAAAGGUAAAUAGAAUUUUCUUUUACCCUAAUUUCUCCUCUUAGGAGCUGAUUUUAUAUAUUAUAAUGUUAUUAAAUUUCUAAUGUGUUCACACUAUAAAGAGAGAAUUCUUGGAGAAAAACUCAAGGAGAAUUCUGCACUUAAACAAAUCUGAAAUUUUGAAUAUAUUUGAGAAGUAUCUAAGGGUGGCUGGUCAAGCCAUAUAUAUAGGCCUUCUAAUUAUUUUCCUAACCCUAUUAGGAAAACUAAAAAAAAACAAAAAAAAAAACCUAAUUUGUUGACUUUUCAAGGGAAUUUCGUCCAAAGCCUUUAAAUGGGCCUCUUGGACUGAAUUUUACAUAGAAAUUUAUUUAUAAAGUCUAAAAAUUAAAAUUAAGUAUUUAAAGAAUUAAAUUGGGCCACUUUGACAAUUUGGCCUGAUUUUCAGCUAAGUCUAAUUUAAACUUCUAGAUUGGGCUUGGAACAUCUUAUUGGGUUUUGUCUUCAAGAACUUGGGCUUGUAAUCCGUUCUCUCCCGAAAUUGAUUCGUUGAUGCUCGUAACGGAGAUCCAAUGCGCUUUGGCUGCAAGAUUUGGUUUUUUGGACCAAGAUUUCCAAGAUUUGAAAUCUUGACUUUCUUGAUUCUUGAAAUCGCUCCAAACAGCAAGAUUAGGCCAAGAUUCGGUUUCUUGAUUUUCUUGAAAACAAGAAAGUGAAACUUGAUUUUCUCGUUCUUUUGUGUAUGCAUCUAAGGCCUUUGUGACUCGUAUCAUUUUUACUUCAAUAAUAUAAAAUAAAUAAAUAAAUACUAGAAUAAGAUAAUGACAUUAAUAUUCACGAAACUAGGUAAAUUUUACAGUAAAUAAUUAAUGAAAAAACCUCAAUUUUUAUGUUUAAAAAGAUAGGAAAAAUCUUAAUAAAAAAACGUUAAUUAAAUAUUUUAAAUAUAAGGAUUAACUUAUUAAAUUCAUUAAAAUACCAAAAUUGUCCCUUUUAAUAAUUUUAAAUAAAGGUAAAUAGAAUUUUCUUUUACCCUAAUUUCUCCUCUUAGGAGCUGAUUUUAUAUAUUAUAAUGUUAUUAAAUUUCUAGUGUGUUCACACUAUAAAGGGUUGACAUGUGAUAAGGAGAGAUCGUAAUCGCUUGUGGAGGGAAAAUUUGCAACAAAAACCCCUCUACUUUUUUAUAUAAUUCUUAAUGGUGUUCUGCAAUGUAUUUUUUCAUAAUAAGUCAUUCUAUUUUGCUUAAGAUAAAUUUUAAUUUUUUUUAAUAUUUUUAAGUUUAUCACUAUUUUUACCAAUUAAAUAUACUAUUAGAAUUGAAAUAAAUAUUUAAAAAUAUAAAUAAUGUUACAAUAAAUUAUUUAAUGAUCACAAUAUUUAGUUUUAAUUAUCAAUCUACAUUCACUAAUAUAUAAUUAAAAUUAAGUAUGAUACUAUGUAUAAAAAUAGACUUCACACAACCUACUAUUAUAGUAUUUAUAUUUUAGAAAUAAAAUCAAAAUAUUUUUAAAAAAAAUUUAUUGUAAUAUCAAUUAUAAUAUUUUAAAAUUAAAGUUAUAUAAUAUUAUAAAUUUUAUGUAAAAAAAUUAAUAUAUAUAUUCAAAAUGCAAUUUUCUUAGGUACUAUUUUUUCAUUCAAACAUUAAUCAUUAAUCUAUUUUUAUCUCUCUCUUGAACAAUUAUAAUAUGUAGUUACUUCUCUCUCUUUUUUUUCAUUUAUUAAUUUCUCAUGUCACAUGCAACAUUAUUUUAUUCAUUUAUUUCCAUAAUUAGUUUUUUAAUUAUCUUUUAAUUUAUUAUUCUAAUUGUUAAACAUAAUUAAAAUAUAUUAAUAAGUUUAACGAUUCAAAUAUAAUAAAAAUGUUUUCAAAUUAUAAUUAAAGCAUAUAUCCCAUAUUAGAAAAUUGUCAAACUCGUGUUUUUAUAUUUAUUAGUUUCUAAUGUCGUGUAUAUUACACGUGAUUUUUUAUAUUUAAGUUUGGUAAUUAUCAUUAAGCAGCGUUUGUGCAAUACAAUUUUUUUUUUUGGGGACAUAUCAUAAAUUAAUAGUCCUUGCUUUUCCAUUCCCAUUUUUUCUUAUUUUCUUAAUCAAUAAAUUCUCCAUAUAGUUUGUAGAUAAUAAUAAUAAUUACUACAAAUACAAUAUUAAUUAUGAUAAAUAUUUUUAUAUGUUACUAUAUAAAUUAUUUAAUAAACAUUUUUAAAACUUAAAAAUCCUUUAACAAUAAUUAAAAUUAUUAUUUAUAAUUAUGAUAAGUAUUUUUAUUAAAUAAAUUUAAUUAACCAAAUAAUUUAAUAAGGUUAAAUUCUUAUAUAUGUAUAUAUAUUUAUAUAAAUGUGAUAAAACUUUAUAAAUAAAAAACAUUUAAAUUGUGAAAUCAGUAAUACAAUAUAUUGAUGAUCACUACAAUUGUAUUUUUUUUUUCCGAAUUCGUGUUUUUAUAGAUUUUUUAGAUUAUAGAUUUUUGUUCUUUUUUUUUCUUUAUCCUUUUUGUAAGCAUGUCAUUAUUUAGUAUUAACUGAAAAUAUGCUAUGUUUUAAGAUAUGUUUAUAUUAAAAUAUAAUGUAAUUUAAUAAUAAUUAAAACAAUUUUAUAAAUAAUUAUAUUUUUAUUUUUAAUUGAAUAUUAUUAAAUGGAAGUGAAGAUAAAAGGCAAAUUUAUUUUUUUAACUUAAAGUUUAGUUAAUAAAUAAACCUUAGGAGUGUUUGUGUAUUUUUCAUCUAAUCUCAAAUUUUUAUCAUACAGAAAGAAAAUGAAUAAAACUUAUCUCAAUCUGUUAGUACCACCUUUUAAAAAUGAUUAUAUCAACUAUCUAUAUUUUUUUUUUCAUUUGAAAAAUUAGAAUAUAACCAUUAAUCCUUGAAAAAUCAUCCAAAUUAAUACAGAAAAUAGGAGUUUUAAAAAAUUUAGAGGAAAAAAAGAGUAAAAUCUUAUUUCCAGAAUAUAUGAAACCUGAGAGGUCGUUUAAUUUCUGCAUUAUAAAAGGAACCGGUGCAUUGUUUAUACUGUUAGGGUUUAAAAAAACCAAAAAAUAUUACAAAUGAAAAUUAUGAUAAUCAGUUCACCUUCAUGUAUCGGUGCCUUAGCAGAGAAGGAAUAGCGGAAACAUGACUCAUCGAAACAACACACCCUAACAGUUUUCCAGCUCUGCACCGGAUGUUAUUUUUGAGCAUUGCUUUAAUACUAUAGUUUUUCAACAAUGAUUUUGCGCAAAGCUUCAGAUAGUGGUAUUGGUCUUGAUCGGUUCAGGUUGAAUGGCCUUUUGCACGAGCUCCGCUUGUUCCUUCACAUGCAUGGAAUAGAAGCCGGUAGCAGUGGAAGCAGAUGGAGCACGGCCAACAUAUCUGACAUCAUCAAAGGUUCCUCUACCCAAAGCAGUCAUUGCAGUGGCAAGACGAGGGGCGAUGUAGUUGUAUGCACCCAUGUUCAUCGGUUCUUCCUGGCACCAAACAAUCUC
This 15718-nucleotide long non-coding RNA is filed under the name Gossypium raimondii (Peruvian cotton). RNAcentral describes it as "long non-coding RNA (GRAI_LNC009870)". The record is from RNAcentral. Lineage: Eukaryota; Viridiplantae; Streptophyta; Magnoliopsida; Malvales; Malvaceae.